Non-coding RNA from Schizosaccharomyces pombe (fission yeast), 286 nucleotides. The record is from the annotation of a GenBank genome assembly. NCBI's taxonomy places the organism in Eukaryota, Fungi, Ascomycota, Schizosaccharomycetes, Schizosaccharomycetales, Schizosaccharomycetaceae.
AUUACCACGGCUAGUUUUACUAACAAUCUCAUAAUAUAAUAAUCUUAGGAUAUUGUGGUAAAACGUUAUGAUACUCUUAUACAGAAGUAUCGUUCUUAUUUUACUCGUUACUAAAGCAGCUCAUAAUUGAAUUCGGGAACGCUUCUCGUUAACAAGCAUAAUAUUGUUUUUCUGACAAUAGACGACAAUGAAUCUUUAUCAUAAUACAUACAUAUUCUCAGAUAAAAGAGCAUGUAUUCGGCACCGUGCUUAACGUAAGUUAACAUAACGCAAAAAAAUCUUUGGC